GUAGAAGGCGACUCACAGACUACAUGCCCGACGUUGGCCCAUUCACGUCACAUUGUGUACGCCAUGCUGGCGCUCCCCUCACACACGCGGGACUGGCCCCGAUAACGUUUUAAUGCGAUCAUGCACGCGCCCCCAGGUGCGCAUGGGCUGGUCAUGCUAAAGGAAGGCACCUCCACCCUGUCGAUCACAGAGUUUGAUGUGAGGACCACGUGCCCUUCAAUCAGUGCGGCAUCACAGAGGUGUCAUUGCGGGACCCCCAUUGGGAAGACUCCGAUGGGUCGCGGUGUUGCACCCGCAACGCAACCAUCAUGCACAUCUCUCGCGAAAUGACGUAGAUCUCGCCGGGGCGUGCGUGACGCUGCACGAAGAGGGCGAGCACAGGCACCUCACAUCGGUUCAGGAAUUCCGCUCCGUCUUUGAAGAGGUGUGAGUUUGAGAUGGCCGACUUGCGUGUACCCCCACAGCAGCCCCAGUGAUUGCCUUCCCGCCUCAGACGCAGUGGCCACCGCCUUACGGAGCUGCCGCGCCCACAAUGCGACGCCUACACGGCACAGGGCGCACCGAUGGCGCCCGCAUCCCCCCAAGGGUGACCGUGAGCAGAGGGAAGCAGCCGAAUGAGAGCACGCAUGUGCUCCCCACGCCUCGAACACGCGCCAUCUUGCUCCCGUGCAGGUUACCCGUCUCUCACAGCCUGAAGAGGAGGAGGGGCCAUCCUGCACGUCCUACAAGCCGUGCCCGAAACCAGCUUAUGGACGCCUACCAGUGGCCAAAGAAGAGCGGAGGGAGCCCCGUUGCACGCGGCACAGGGGAAGGCGAUGCACCUUGUCGAUCUGUGUGGCGAGAUGAGAAGCGAGAACCAGCAACGGAUGCGGUGCAUGGAAAGUACCCCCGACCAGUGCCCCCGCGCGUUCCCAGAAAGCGUCACUCCUCCGCCGCCGGUGACAGACGCGGAUGUCGAGGCCCCUCCCCUCAGUGGCAGCAAUCGUUAUGGUGUGCCCAGCGCAGCAGCGACCCCUCUCCUUGAAUGGGCCCCCACCGUCGUGGAAGAGAAGAAAGGACGUAUCGGACGGCGGCGCCCUCAUUCUCUGGCCGCGACAAGUCAACAGCUGGCCAGAUGAGCGGCGUUACAACGCGGAGGUGGGUCUGGAUGCGCAGCCAUGGGAGAACUCGUGCUCCACGACUGUGUGCGUGUGGGAGGGGGGGUGACAGAUCUGGAAAGGUCAUCUUUUUCAAGUGCUUCUUUCCGUGCAUCUGCGGCCGCUCUUGAGCCUGUGAACCGGGGACCGCUCCGUGCAUCAGCGAAGAGCGCACCCGAAUGAACUUGGCCGUUGGCCCAGUGGUGAUGCGGGUAGUGACAGCAACAUCGGCCUGCCAUCCUAUGUGUGCCGCGCGACCCGCCUCCGACAUUCACGUGAAGGUCUGCAUCGACAGCAUCCAACGGACGGGUGGUCGGCAGGCGGUGAAGACAGCUCUGCAGGCGACGCAAGCCGCAACCCCGCAUUUCACACGAGACGGGUGCUGGCUAACAGCAUGGCAAGGGGUGGGUGGUGAUGGAUAAGGAAGGGUGCACCCUGCACUGUCGUCGAAGGCAUUG
RNAcentral lists this unclassified non-coding RNA (1594 nucleotides) under Leishmania donovani. RNAcentral's name for it is "gene:unknown". The record is from RNAcentral. Lineage: Eukaryota; Euglenozoa; Kinetoplastea; Trypanosomatida; Trypanosomatidae.